AGCCCCGUGGUGUAGUGGUCAAUCAUGCGAGGCUCUGGACCUCGCGACCCAGGUUCGAAUCCUGGCGGGGCUA
Molecule: transfer RNA, 73 nt
Filed under: Thermoplasmata archaeon
Lineage: Archaea; Methanobacteriati; Thermoplasmatota; Thermoplasmata
Also listed under: 3 other names
Description: tRNA-Gln
Rfam family: tRNA
About the family: Transfer RNA (tRNA) molecules are approximately 80 nucleotides in length. Their secondary structure includes four short double-helical elements and three loops (D, anti-codon, and T loops). Further hydrogen bonds mediate the characteristic L-shaped molecular structure. tRNAs have two regions of fundamental functional importance: the anti-codon, which is responsible for specific mRNA codon recognition, and the 3' end, to which the tRNAs corresponding amino acid is attached (by aminoacyl-tRNA synthetases). tRNAs cope with the degeneracy of the genetic code in two manners: having more than one tRNA (with a specific anti-codon) for a particular amino acid; and 'wobble' base-pairing, i.e. permitting non-standard base-pairing at the 3rd anti-codon position.
Source: RNAcentral